Molecule: ribosomal RNA, 768 nt
Filed under: Allogromida sp. Keys_Shepheardella
Lineage: Eukaryota; Foraminifera
Description: SSU rRNA
Rfam family: Eukaryotic small subunit ribosomal RNA
Source: RNAcentral
AAGGGCACCACAAGAUCGCGUGGAAUAUGUGGCUUAAUUUGACUCAACGCGAGAAAUCUUACCGGGUCCGAACACACGUAGGAUUGACAGAUGCGUAAUAUUCACGUAAUAUGCGUAUAAUAAUUAUUUUUAUAAUUAUUACGCAUAAAAUUUGAUAGCCCUUUUAUGAUUAUGUGAUAAGUGGUGCAUGGCCGUUCUUAGUUCGUGGAGUGAUCUGUCGGCUUAAUUGCGAGAAAUACAUAUAUAGAAUAAUUAUUAUUAUGUAUAUAGAAUGCGUAAUAUUACGCUCGCAUUAUAUGCGCAGCAAUAUUAUUACGUAUAUAUACGAAAUAAUUAUCUCUAUACGCUAUUUCUGCAACGAACGAGACCGGGACCGUAAAUUUAAAAAUAUACGUAAUACGUAUAUCUCACAAUACGGGACCGCUGUUAUUAUUAAAAUUUAACCAUAGCGAAGGGCCCGGCAAUAACAGGUCUGUGAUGCCCUCAGAUGUUCCGGGCUGCACACGUAUUACAAUGAAUAUUAUAGAGCGUGUGUAUAAUGAAUUAUGCGUAUAUACGUAAUAAUUAUUUAGCCCGCUUCGAAAUUGCGUACGAGGCAAUCUAUAUAAUAAUAUUAUACACGCGUGUUACACGGCAGGGACAGAUUAUUGUACGUAAUACGCACUAAUUAUUAAUCUCGCAUUUAUAACUAGGAAUGCCUCGUACACAUAUAUUCGGUUCAAUAGACCAUAUGGAAUACGUCCCUGCCCUUUGUACACACCGCCCGUC